RNAcentral lists this ribosomal RNA (543 nucleotides) under Distorsionella lewisi. RNAcentral's name for it is "partial 12S ribosomal RNA". The record is from RNAcentral. Lineage: Eukaryota; Metazoa; Mollusca; Gastropoda; Littorinimorpha; Thalassocyonidae.
AGAGGUUGAAUUAUACAUAUUAAGGUAAAAAGGCAGUUAGAUACAUAAACUAGUUUAUUAAUUUUUUUAUAUAAAAGUAAAAUUUGAAUAUAAAUGAAUAAUUUAAUUUAAACUAAUUAGAUUGACUCUGCGAUAUCCUUGAGGGAAACUGGGAUUAGAUACCCCAUUAUUCAUGGUUGUAAAUUAAUUGAAAUUUACCCGAGUACUACGAAUUUUAUGACAAAAUUUAAAACUCAAAGGGCUUGGCGGUGUUUUAGACCUCUCAGGGGAACCUGUCUCAUAAUCGACAGUCCACGUUAUACCUGACCUUUUUUUGCAUUCAGUCUGUAUACCGUUGUCGUCAGGUAACUUUUAAAAAAUUAGAAGUUAGCAACAAAAUUACUGUAAAUUAAAACGUCAAAUCAAGGUGCAGCUUAUGAAAAGGCGAGGAUGGGUUACAAUUAAAAAUUAUAAUACGAAUAGACUAGUGAAAUAUUUUCAUGAAGGAGGACUUGAAAGUAAAAUAAAUUAUAUAAAUGGUUUGAAUAAGGCUCUGAAACAUGC